GCCUGAGUGACGAAAUUGGUAGACGUAGUGGAUUCAAAAUCCGCCGAUGAAUAAUCGUGUCGGUUCGAGUCCGACCUCAGGCA
RNAcentral lists this transfer RNA (83 nucleotides) under Pasteurella bettyae CCUG 2042. It matches the Rfam family "tRNA". From Rfam's summary of the family: Transfer RNA (tRNA) molecules are approximately 80 nucleotides in length. Their secondary structure includes four short double-helical elements and three loops (D, anti-codon, and T loops). The record is from Rfam by way of RNAcentral. Lineage: Bacteria; Pseudomonadati; Pseudomonadota; Gammaproteobacteria; Pasteurellales; Pasteurellaceae.